This 62-nucleotide ribosomal RNA is filed under the name Botryosphaeria kuwatsukai. RNAcentral describes it as "partial 28S ribosomal RNA". Lineage: Eukaryota; Fungi; Ascomycota; Dothideomycetes; Botryosphaeriales; Botryosphaeriaceae. The record is from RNAcentral.
UUGACCUCGGAUCAGGUAGGGAUACCCGCUGAACUUAAGCAUAUCAUAUAGCGCGGGAGAGA